CUGAUGAAACAGGGAUCUGUUGAAGUGCAUCAGCUACUAAUAAAAUACAAACUCAGCUGGCAGAAUAUUGCCUCGAGUCUUUUUUCAUGUCUUGAGCAGUUACAGAAGUCAGAAUGAGACACAAGAAAAUUCUCCAGUCAUCGCUGCCCAUCAGGUACUGUACAUUUUAUUGCAUUAUACAAUUGCCAUCCAAUCCAUUCACAGCACUUUCCAAUGUAUCCUUAACAAAUCCUGUCCUGCGACUGUACACUGCUAAUUCCAAAGUUCUUAACCUAGGAAAAAAUGCAUAUGGGAAGGCAAGGUAAAGGAAACUCAGCUGAUGUGCUACUUAUGGGCUAUAUGCAUGGGAUUGAAUGUCAUUCAGCAAAGAUAUUUUAGAAUUUACAUGAAUCUCAAAUGCUACAGCUUUAAUGCUUAGAUAAUGCAUUCAAGAGAGCAGAAAAUAAAUUAUGGCAAGUUCUGCAAUUAAGUGGAAGAGAGCUGAUGCUGUUGCUCAGCAGUUUUAUUUGUGCACAUAGGAGGAGUAAGACAUCAGUGUGCAAGCAUCUGUAAGAAACAGACUCUUCCAAGACAGAGGUAUGAUAUGCUCUCACCUGGUGAACAUCCCUUCUGUAGCCAGAAUCAUUGUUGCUUCCUCCAAUUACAUAGAGCUUUCCCAGCAGUGCAGCCAUCCCAUGCCAAGCACGUCUCUCUGGACUAUCUGCUAAAACUUCCCAGCGGUCAGUCUUUGGAUCAUAACAUUGCAGCUCCUUCAAAUAAUCUUCUCCUCUCCUCCCACAGGUAAUAUACAUCUUCCCAUCCAGUGCUGCUCCAGCGUGUGCAUAUACCUGCAUAACCAUGUGGGAAAGCAAGAGUUCGAGUGAGAGGCUCCUAUCUUUUUUGCCAGCAAGCAUACAGACUGGGCUAAAGGCUUACUGACUCAGAGAUGGGCAACAGGGUGGAAAUGAGAAUAGCAGGAUUAUCCUUAUCUUACC
Non-coding RNA from Coturnix japonica (Japanese quail), 974 nucleotides. Lineage: Eukaryota; Metazoa; Chordata; Aves; Galliformes; Phasianidae. The record is from RefSeq and is a predicted model, not a curated record.